AUUGAACGCUGGCGGCAUGCUUUACACAUGCCAGUCGAACGGUAACAGGCCUUCGGGUGCUGACGAGUGGCGCACGGGUGAGUAAUGCAUCGGAACGUGCCCAGAGGUGGGGGAUAACGCAGCGAAAGCUGUGCUAAUACCGCAUGUGAUCUGAGGAUGAAAGCGGGGGACCAGGCAGCAAUGUUUGGCCUCGCGCCUUUGGAGCGGCCGAUGUCAGAUUAGGUAGUUGGUGGGGUAAAGGCCUACCAAGCCGACGAUCUGUAGCUGGUCUGAGAGGACGACCAGCCACACUGGGACUGAGACACGGCCCAGACUCCUACGGGAGGCAGCAGUGGGGAAUUUUGGACAAUGGGCGCAAGCCAGAUCCAGCAAUGCCGCGUGCGGGAAGAAGGCCUUCGGGUUGUAAACCGCUUUUGUACGGAACGAAAAGGCUCUGGCUAAUACCUGGGGCUGAUGACGGUACCGUAAGAAUAAGCACCGGCUAACUACGUG
Molecule: ribosomal RNA, 492 nt
Filed under: uncultured bacterium
Lineage: Bacteria
Description: partial 16S ribosomal RNA
Rfam family: Bacterial small subunit ribosomal RNA
Source: RNAcentral